GGCAGUGCGAGGGAGUGGGCUCGCUCCGGAGAUGUUUGGCGGGAGAAGUCGCUUGGCUAAAGUCGUCUCCUGCCCAUGUGGGUGAGUCCCUUCUGCCCCUGUGGGUGAGUCCCUGCUGCCGAGUGCACCCCUGAUCGCCGCCCGUGAGAAGCGACAGAGCUACAAGAAUGUAGUCCUUGGAUACUUGGAGGAACUAGAUGGUACUCAAGCAAGAGUCGAGAAUUCGAGAAACCUUGUGGAGGAGUUUGCAUUAACGAAACUCUCUUGAACAGCCGCCGGCCAUGAGAAGCGGCUGUAGUGCUCGCCCUUACAUAUCUGAAGGUUUCGAGAGGGACCGCAAGAAGCGCCUAAAUCCUGCGGAAUCUUGCUGAAAAAUUUGGAAUCAGUGAAGAUAAGAGAAACUUCCUUGAAUACCCUCCUCCAGGGCGUCGGAAGGCGUUGGGUUCGGGUCCGCGGCGAGGUCCUUGGUGCUUCCCUCUCCUUCGUGGACCUCUUUCCCUUGGCCUUCUGGUGCUUCGUCUUCUCCUCCUUCGACUUUCCUUUGGUUCUAGAGGCGUCCUCGAGUUCUUUGCACUCCUCAGCUCGAAAGUAGACGACGCUGCUCGGCCACGGCGUCAAUCACCCGAGGGGCAUAACACGCACCUCUACCCCGUGCGCGCGUGUAAGCAAUGUGUAUCUGUAUCAUAUUAGCAAAAUACUUACUGUUAUCUGUUUCAACUGUUAUAUUUUACAUGUUUACUUUUUUAUGAUUCAGGUAAUCUUUGUAUUUGUUCACAUACUCACAGAUAUAUGCACAUACAAAUGUUCAUUGCUUUACCUAUAUAUAUAUAUAUAUAUAUAUAUAUAUAUAUAUAUAUAUAUAUAUAGAGAGAGAGAGAGAGAGAGAGAGAGAGAGAGAGAGAGAGUGCGUGCGUGCGUUCAGUCUACCUGCAAAACUUACCUGUUCAAGGGAGUUUCGUUAAUGCAAACUCCUCCACAAGGUUUCUCAGAAUCUUGGCUCAUGCUUGAGGACCAUCUCGUUCCUCCAAGUAUCCAAGGACUAUAUUUUUCUAGUUCUGUUGUAGUGAAUGCAACUCUUUGUGAAGCGACGGAGGGAGUCAACUAUCGCAAUGCUUGUAUUUGUUAAUGGGGCUUUUCGUGUCGGAGUGGCCCGGGGGUUAAUAUCGUAACUAAAAUCAAAAUACACAUUUAGUACUAAAAACAUAGAGUGAAAGAAUUAAAAUGAGAUAAAACUGAACCCUUAAGAGAGAGAAAAAAAAAACAUUUAACAUUAAAACACUGGGAGUUUUCAAACACUAGCCUGCCCCGUUUUCCUUUACAGUUCCCUCAUUUUCUGGGAUGGCAUGUUAAAUCUGUGUACUUGUGACACCUACGAACGUGAAAUAAAACCAACAAUAUAAAAAAAGGUGCCUGGGUACAACUCCUUAAAGAGGAAAGAGGCAACAAAAGAACUAGGAAAACAAUUUAAAACAUUUACUGAUAUAUCGGCUUUGGUUAUGUAUAAUAUUUUUACAUCUGUUAUAUUAAUAUUCCUAACAACAAGAACACAACACUUAUCUGUAUAAUAAGUCACACUGGUGUUCCACAGCGAGCCGAAUACACAAAAUUUGCCACUAUAAAUAAUAAUUGAAAGGGGUGCCUUGGUCUCCCUGAUUAAUAUGUCAGGUCAGGUCAUAUUAACAGUCUAGAGAGCUAGGAGAUUUGCGACAAAUGUUCUCCAGUUUUUGUGUGACCCUGCACAUUCGGUCAGGCCAGUGGAAAUUGGUGAAACAAAAAAAAACAAACAAAAAAACUAGUGAUAUUUGUUUAUUUGUUUACAUUCAAAAUUAUAUAAAGUUCAUACACUGUCGCUUCUCAGAAAAAAACUAUCGAAAAACCCAAAAUAUAUAUAAAAGAAAAAACCUGGACACAGAUGUAGAAAAUAGGCGGGUAUACGUGUAUGUAUAUGUACACUAAUAUAUGUAUUAUGGACAGACUGAUUUGUAUGAUUAGCAUUAGAUUUGGAAUAUACCAUAUCAAUAAAUAUUCUCUUCUAA
Molecule: long non-coding RNA, 2036 nt
Organism: Penaeus chinensis
Lineage: Eukaryota; Metazoa; Arthropoda; Malacostraca; Decapoda; Penaeidae
Exons: 4
Source: RefSeq, a predicted model, not a curated record